GACGAACGCUGGCGGCGUGCUUAACACAUGCAAGUCGAACGGAAAGGCCCUGCUUUUGUGGGGUGCUCGAGUGGCGAACGGGUGAGUAACACGUGAGUAACCUGCCCUUGACUUUGGGAUAACUUCAGGAAACUGGGGCUAAUACCGGAUAGGAGCUCCUGCUGCAUGGUGGGGUUGGAAAGUUUCGGCGGUUGGGGAUGGACUCGCGGCUUAUCAGCUUGUGGGUGGGGUAGUGGCUUACCAAGGCUUUGACGGGUAGCCGGCCUGAGAGGGUGACCGGCCACAUUGGGACUGAGAUACGGCCCAGACUCCUACGGGAGGCAGCAGUGGGGAAUAUUGCACAAUGGGCGGAAGCCUGAUGCAGCAACGCCGCGUGCGGGAUGACGGCCUUCGGGUUGUAAACCGCUUUCGCCUGUGACGAAGCGUGAGUGACGGUAAUGGGUAAAGAAGCACCGGCUAACUACGUG
RNAcentral lists this ribosomal RNA (467 nucleotides) under uncultured bacterium. Its description in RNAcentral is "partial 16S ribosomal RNA". It matches the Rfam family "Bacterial small subunit ribosomal RNA", at positions 28 to 507 of the family's 1533-position model. The record is from RNAcentral.